AGCUCUCAGUUCUUUAAAGGAGACUUUGUGUCUCUGAGCUGUGAGGAGGACGACAGCUCUGCUGGAUGGACUCUGAGGAGAAACACAAGCACACGACAGAGGACUCAGUGUGGAGAUGGGUGGGGAACAUCUGCUAAGUCUUCGUGUAACAUUAGUAAUGUCUUUCCUCAUGACAGUGGAGUUUACUGGUGUGAGUCCAGAGAGGGUCCCAUCAGUAACAUGGUUAACCUGACAGUCACUGGUGGAUCAGUGAUCCUGCAGAGUCCUGUCCUCCCUGUGAUGGAGGGAGAUGACGUCACUCUGCUCUGUAAAACAAAGACCACUCCCUCCAACCUCCCAGCUGCUUUCAUCAAAGAUGGCGUCUUCAUUAGAAAUGAGUCUACAGGUCACAUGACCAUCCAGCAUGUUUCCAGGUCUGAUGAAGGCCUCUACAAGUGUGACAUCAGCGGUCAUGGAGAGUCUCCAUCCAGCUGGAUCACUGUCACAGACAAACACACCACCACACCUCUCAUUCCUGUGUUGUCAUGUGUUGGAUCAUUCUGUGUUGUGAUUCUACUGGUGUUAUUGGUUCUGCUGGUGAGACGGCAUGCUCGCAGGAAACCUGAAGCUCAAAACACUGAUGACACUUCAGAAAACAAAGUCACAUGCACUGAGGUCACUUUAUCAAAUCAUCAACAAAAACAAAAAGAGAGUGAUCCAGCUGGACUCUACUCCGAAGUGACAAUACAAGACGUCACUGCUGGGCAGAAAAGAAAAGACUUUAAACCAGAGCCAGACAUCGUCUACUCUUUGCUGAAGUAGUCCACCAGUCCAACCACUGAUGCCCAGCUGCUGGUCUCUAACUGGUCCUUACCCUCUUCCUUUUGUUCUCACUGAAUUAGACCUGUAUGUCUCACACAAAUUGUUUUUAACAGGAGUUUUACAAGUUUAUCCUACAUAAUUUAUUACUGUUUGUUGGCUUUUUCCCUCAUUCUUAUUUCACCCAUUCAGUCUCUCUGCAGCAGUAAUAUUGUCACAUGUUUUUUGUGUGGGCUUGGAAAAGAAAUCAAAUGGAAAAUUUGACUUAUUUGUAUGUGGCUAACUGAUAUAUGCCCUUCUUUCAAUCAUUCAGUUGCGGAAAACAGAACAGCUUCAUUGCAGGAUGUAUAUGUUUGAGACCAAAUAGUUUACAUUUUUACAUCAUCCAUAAAUCAAACAGCAGCAGCUUAGAGUUUUUAUUAAUUAAAACCUACCUUUAAAUUUAUCCACCAAAAGCAGUUCCUGAUACGACUCCAAAGGGAGUCGUAUCCCAUCUCUGGUCAUGAAGUUCUCCAGAGGCCUGUAAUGAUCAUUUGAUUCAGGUGUGUUGACCUACUGUGCUAUCUAAAACGUGCAGGACACUGGUCCUUGAGACCUGGGGCCAUCCUUGCCAUUCACUGUUAAAUCUGGGUAUUACAGUUCCAAUGUUUGAAAUGAUAAGAAAACAUUACUAUGUUAACAGCUAAAGAAAAGACAAACAGUUUACAUUCCAAACUUUAAAGAAAUAAGACAUAAAUGACCAGGUUUGACUUGUUUGUUCUCAGUUUGACUCUUGUAGUGUUUUUCAGUCAAAUUUGGCCAAUUUCAAAGUUUUAUCUCUAAAAAAAAAAUGUACGUAGUUUGAUCAGACUGACCUUAGACUUUAUAGCUGUGUCCACAAAGAGGACUUUACAACACAAAAUAAAUUUGAUUAGUUUGCUUACAAUUGUGUCUUUUAUUCAACAUUUGUACACUUUUGGUGUUCCAUGUCUGAAAUGAGUGAUCAUUAGAAAUGAACUUGGGAGUUCAGGUUCGUCCCCAUUUGUCAGUUGGACAUAUAUAUGCUUAUUGUUGUGUUUUCCUCAAAACCCAGCAUUCGCUCUUCUCUGUGUGUUUGCCUGUUUUCAUACUGGCUUACUUUAAACUUUAACAGCCCCGAUGUGUUUUAAAAGAAAUCCUGCUCAUCCUCUAAAUGUGUCACAAGUUUGGGUUUACUCAGAAAACUGUUCUUCACACCUAAAUUGGCUUUUGAGCUUUUUAAAAAAAAUAAUAAUACAAAUAAAAAAAAUCAUAUUAUG
This is a long non-coding RNA of Oreochromis niloticus (Nile tilapia), 2075 nucleotides long. RefSeq lists it as uncharacterized. NCBI's taxonomy places the organism in Eukaryota, Metazoa, Chordata, Actinopteri, Cichliformes, Cichlidae. The record is from RefSeq and is a predicted model, not a curated record. The transcript is spliced from 6 exons.